UAUCUUUUCCUUCUAAUUGCCUCAGUUUUUUACUCUAUAUAGUUUGAAGCCAUGUAAUUGGAUGCAUGUAGAUUUAGAACUGAUAUCUUCAUGAAUGAUGGUUUUAUCAUCAUGAAAAUUCCCUCUUUGCUCUUAAAAAGUGUCUUACCCUAAAGUCUGCUUUGUCCGAUGUUAGUAUUGUGACACCACCUUCAUUGACUAGGUUGAUGUUAUCUUUUCCCAUCCUUUCAUUUUAGCAUUUCUGUGUCUGCAGAUUUUAUUUUUUUGUUGUUUUAUUUAUUUUAUUUUAUUUAUUUUUUUUUAAUUUUUUUUUUCCCACUGUACAGCAAGGGGGUCAGGUUAUCCUUACAUGUAUACAUUGCAAUUACAGUUUUUUCCCCCACCCUUUCUUAUGUUGCAACAUGAGUAUCUAGACAUAGUUCUCAAUGCUAUUCAGCAGGAUCUCCUUGUAAAUCUAUUCUAGGGUGUGUCUAAUAAGCCCAAGCUCCCGAUCCCUCCCGCUCCCUCCCCCUCCCAUCAGGCAACCACAAGUCUCUUCUCCACGUCCAUGAUUUUCUUUUCUGAGGAGAUGUUCAUUUGUGCUGGAUAUUAGAUUCCAGUUAUAAGUGAUAUCAUGUGGUAUUUGUCUUUGUCUUUCUGCCUCAUUUCACUCAGUAUGAGAUUCUCUAGUUCCAUCCAUGUUGCUGCAAAUGGCAUUAUGUCAUGCUUUUUUAUGGCUGAGUAGUAUUCCAUUGUGUAUAUAUACCACAUCUUCCGAAUCCAAUCAUCUGUCGAUGGACAUUUGGGUUGUUUCCAUGUCCUGGCUAUUGUGAAUAGUGCUGCUAUGAACAUGCGGGUGCAUGUGUCUCUUUUAAGUAGAGCUUUGUCCGGAUAGAUGCCCAAGAGUGGGAUUUGUGUCUGCAGAUUUUAAGUGUGCCUCCUGUAAAAUGCAUAUGUUUGGGUUUUAUGUUUUAUCCAGUCUGAAGUCUUAUAAUUUUAAAAAAGCUAGUCAGCUUAGAUGUAGACUGAUUGCUGAAACAUAUUGGCUAUCACUACCAUUUUCUCAUUUGUAUUCUGUUUGACCUACAUGAUAAUAAUUAGUUUCUAUUGAAUGAACAGAUAAAUUGCUUUUUCUCCCCUUUCUUAUAUUUUUUUUUUGGAAGGCAAUUUUUUUCCUUUCUUUCUUAAAGUUUUUAUUAAAGUAUACUUGAUUUAGAAUGUUUUGUCAAUUUCUACUGCACAGUAUAGUGACCCAGUCAUAUGUAUAUGUACAUUCUUUUUCUCAUACUAUCUUCCAUUAUGUUCUAUCACCAGAGAUUGGAAAUAAUUCCCUGUGCUAUACAGUAGGGUCUCAUUGGUUAUCCAUUUUAAGUAUAAUAGUUGGCAUCUAAAACCCCAGGCUCCCAGUCCUCACUCUCCCCCACCCCUUGACAACCACAAGUCUGUCCUCCGUGUCUCUGAGACUAUUUCUAUUUUGUAAAUAGGUUCAUUUGUGCCAUAUCUUAGAUUCCACACAUAAAUGAUAUCAUAUGUUAUUUGUCCUUCUCUUUCUGACUUACUUCACUUAGUAUUAGAAUCUCUAGUUCCAUUCAUGUUGCCGCAAAUGGCAUUAUUUUGUCCUUUCUAUGGCUGAAUAGGAUUCCAUUAGGAAUAUGUACCACAUCUUCCUAAUCCAUUAAUCUGUUGAUGGACAUUUAGGUCGUUUCCAUGUCUUGGCUUUUUUAGAAGAAUUUAGAUUAAAUGUAAUGUUCAAUAAAUUCUCUUUUUGCUUAAUAUAGUAACAUACUUUUAAAAAUUUAAAUUCUUAAAAUUUAUAUUAAAAUAAUUCAUUUUACCAUAAUGUAUGACAGAUUAUAUUAGAAUCUUUUACUCAGGUGUGUAUGACUGAUUCCCAACUUCCUUAAAUAGUCCAUAAACUGAUGUAAUACGAAAGUACUUUCAUAGUAUAUUAAUAUUUGUUUUAACUUUGCUUUCAAGGGGCUGUGUAUAUGUUUUGUAAUAUAUUCUCAGAAAGUCUUUUCAAAGAGAAUAAUUACAAGUUUAGUUUACAAACCAUUGUUAUACAGUAGCAGGAUAAAUUAUCUUUUUAAAAGCUAUCUUGUAUAGUGAGUGUUUUUUCUAUUCCAUUCUUUUUUAUACAACAGUUUAUCCUGAGAUACUGAGAUAACAUUGUCCAUUUCUAAACCUGUUGCUUGCUGAGAAAAGAGCUAUGUGUUGUAAAGUCCUUGCUUCCAUUACUGUGCCUUGCAUAUACUAAGAAUUCAACAAAUAUUUGUUAGAUGAACACAUGAAUAUAUGUUUAUAUGAAGGAAUGAGUGGCUUUGAAUCUAGGUUUUCUGACUUAGUGACUCUUUCAAAUUACUUCCAAAUGCAUUGUCUUUAUUUGGCCGCAAUAUAAUUUUACACUUAUUAACAACCAUCUCCCUUCACUAGCUAUUCCCCCAGGUACCGUGGUUUUUAUGAAGUACAGCUUGCAUGAGGUACUGAUUGACAUAUGGUACUGUCUCCAGAGCUUGCUGAAGAAUGCAGCAUAUGCUGGAGGCAGUAAGCACCCUGUUGAGAUCAAAGUUGCCAAAUUCUCCAAGGCCAAGUUUUUAAAAGGCCUGCUCCUUGGCCUGACAUGCCUCUUCUGCCUCUGGAUAUGAGAGAGGGUAAAGUGUUUUAUUGAUUUACCACGAAAAGUGGAAGGAACGCAAAGUGAGUUGCUCUUCUCCAGCAUUCACGGCUGAAGAAGCUUUGUCAGCAGGCACAGACUAGAAGAGACCGAGGGAGUCAGGGAGGCAGUGCUCUUUCCUCUCACCACUUGGGAAAUGGGUAAGAGCUGACAGUUAUCAUUCCCAAACAGGAAUUAUAGACUGAGGUGUCAUUAAGGGAAUCCACCAACUGAUAGAAGAGAGCAACAACAAAGUUAAUAUUGGUUACUGAAAUAUUAAACCUUUCCAUGUUUAUAGUUGAAGUCCCAAGAGAUUACUUUGUAUGCAGUUUUUAUUUUUCUUACUAAACUUUCUGGAUCCCCCCACAACUGAACAACUGAUCCAUUUCAAUACCUUGAACUCUUCUUUCUUCUGUAUGCAGCCCAGCUAUCACAGUGAAUAAGCAAUUCCCUAAGCAUAAAUUUGGCUCUACUAUGAGAGAUGUUGGCUUGGGAAGAAUGUAUUACCUCCCAUGGAAACUUUAGUGAAAAUGCAAAUAGGUUUUCUCACAUCAUAUAGAGUGAUGCUGAGUACUACAAUUCAAGUAUGAAGUAAAAGAAUUCAAAUAUUAAGGGUGGAGCUACGAGACGUUCUUUAAUAUGUAAAUUAUGAAAACAAUAAUUAGAUGUCACUUGGUUAUUUUCUAUCUCAGUUUUAUUUAUCUAUUUUUUUUUCAUGGAAGUAUCAGCUGGUUUCUCUAGCAUUACAUUUUUACUUAAUGGAACAAAUCCUUGUAGCAUUGGUUUAUGUGUAGUUUUCACUUAAUUAGCCAGCCUUUAUAUCCUCAGAUGUACUCAAUCUAAUUUUUUUUAAAUCCUUGUCCUCAAUUUGGACUGAAAGAAAUCUUUAAGUACAUUUUCAGCUAAAAUGCUCUGUGCCUUGGAGGAAAAAUGCCAACACACAAAGGAGAGUACUGAGGAACCACAUAAUUCUAACCUGGUGUACUCCCCACCCCCAAAUAGAGUCUAACAGAUUAGGAGUUUCAGAUAAUAAGCCCGAAGGGAUUUGUGUGCUGGAACCCUGCUGAGGAAAAUUCAUUAACACAUCAAUUUAUGAACAUAAACAGUGUAUUUGGGAUUUUUGUGUAUGCCCUGUAACCUAUUAACAAGUUAAUUUAGCAUCCUACUUGAAUGAAACAAACAGUUUGACCUUAUUCAAGAUCAAUUAUAUUCACAAAAUACAUUUCCAUCUUGUGUGUAUUGGCAGCAUGUCGGCAUUGGAACAAAACAACUGGCCUGUUACCGAAGUCGCUCUCACACAGAAGAUUUCACAAAAGCAAUGAGGUUGUUCUGGCCAGCAGAAGGACAUUGACUAUUCAAAUUGUCACUCUUAAGUAUGCUUCCUGACCAAGGGUUACUGGGAUUUGGGGAAUUAGCAAUCAUGCAUGUUAAAAAGACGAAAGCCUGACUGUAUGUUCACUGUUAGGGAAGUACAAACAAAAGCAGCAAGUAAAGGGAUAAUAGUCAUAGAAAAUUAUACUUUUCUAAGGUCAGAUUUUUCUAGUUCCCAAAGAAUAGCGUUUUCAUUAUGGCCCUGAUAGCAGCCAAACUAUCCUAUCUUAGGACAUUUAUUUUCUAUGUACAGUUUCCUGUACAUUCUUGACUGAUGUACAAUAAAAUGAUUUAAGACCAAAUGUGAAGUAAUUCAUCUUUGAGACUAAAACAUACACCUUUGGGAGAAGACAGUGUAUACAGGGUUCUCCAAAAUGUUGGAAAACAGCUGUUUUUUUUUUUCUUUUUUUUUUUUUUUACAAUAUAAUCAACUAAAUUAAAAACAGAAAAAACAAAGCAAAAAUAAAAACAACAAACCUGUAUAGGUACAGAGCAUGAAUUCAUUUACCUCCCAAUAUUCAAAAAGAACAUGCCCAGGUACACUUGGACCCAUUUUUGUAGAAUAUCCUCUGGAACUGAUUUCUGUAUGUACACAUCCAUCCACCCUAGCUUUUCCACUCAAGGCAUAGAAAUUGGUGGGAGCAGGAUGUAAAAUCUUAACUGAAAGACAGCUACCUUGGAGCUAUGGAGAAAUAGAAACGCAAGACUAAGAACAGAACUUUUAGCAGGAUGUCUUUGUUCUAGUUCUUUUCUUUCAUUCUUCUCUAUCCUCUCGUUUUCCCUUUGACAAAUACCUUCACCCUUCUUUCGCCAUGCCCACCGUAGAGAACAAUUCAAAAGUACAUAAAUUACAUCGCAUCUGUUCCAUUGUCAAGUCAGUUCUAACUAUUGCUAAUGUAUACAUUUCACAGAAAUAGAUAAUUUUUUUAAGAUAAAUCAAUUGAGAAAAAUAACAGACUUCAGGAAGAACAAACAUGCAACCACAAUCAAUCAUCUAGUAUUUUCAAAGCCCAGAUUUCACACAAAACAAUUCCCAAUCAAGCUGAUUUCAUAUUCCAUAUGGGGACAUUUGAUGAUUUUGAGAGGGAAUGCAGCAUCCUCUAAUUAGCUGUGAGUUCCAACUAGAUAGAAUAUUUGGACUAGUGAUGGAAUAUAACAGUGCAACAAACAAAUGAUAGAGCAGACCAUAAUGCAGUGGUAAGUUAUUCACCUUGACAUAAAUGACCCUGCACAUGAUCAAAUAAAUAGAAAUUCUGUUUUAAACAGCUCUUCAUUAUCUUGUUUUUCAGAGGUAUAUAUGCAACGCAAAGGACCAGCAUUUCCUUGACAACACAAAAUGACAUUUUGAAGGUCAGAGCUCCCUCUCUGCCUGAACAUUCACUAUCUACACAAAUAAAACAAAACCUAACCGGUUAUUAUUCCUUCUUUUCCUGGAAUGUGAGCCUAUAUAUAUAAAUCUCACCAAAUUAUUUAUGUUCUAGAAAUGGAUAACAAGCACUUUCUUCCACUCCCACCUCAGUCCUGUCUCAUGAACUUCUGGUUAGAAUUUGAACUUAUUUCCUUAGGAAAAUAACUUUUGCAUCUACCUAUAUUUCAGCAUUAUUAGGAGACUAUCUUUAUAUAUUUACUUGUAUUGUUGCCUGGCCCAGACUUCCUCAGGUUCCAAGUAAACUUGAGUCAAAGUAUCUGACUUAUCUGGCUUUUUGACAGUAAUGACUCCUCACAUUUUGCUUUGGGUAGCUAAUCUGCAAAGCGGUCCUUACCUGACUUGAUCUAAUAACACAAAGCCUGAUACAUGAUCAUUAAGAUGAGUAUAAAUAUUUUUAAGAGAAAGCAUUUCUAUAAGGACACUAAGAGGCAUUAAGAAAGAGAGACUGUGAUUUCUCUGUUGUGGCUCAGUGGGUUAAGAACCCUACAUGGUAUCUGUAAGGAUGGAGGUUCAAUCCCUGGUCUCCCUCAGUAGGUGAAGGAUCCAGCUUUGCUGCAAACUGCGGUGUAGGUCAUGGAUGCGGCUCAGAUCUCCAGGUCAUAGAUGUGGCUCAGAUCUGGUGUUGCUAUGGCUGUGGUGUAAGCCUGCAGCUCCAGCUCCAAUUUGACCCCUAGCCUGGGAACUUCUGUAUGCUGCAGGUUCAUCUGUAAAAAGAAAAUAAGAGGUUAAGCUGUUGUAAACAAAUAGUUUAGAGAGUCAGUGCAGAUGGUGUAUAGUUUCUGAGUCUGAGGUGCAUAAUUGAAAAUUACAUUCACUUCAACUCAAACAGCCAUUUUUUAUUAUAAAAUUAAUUUUUAACUUAAUUCUAUUCUUACUCCUCAUUUCUAAAAAAAAAAAAAAAA
Molecule: long non-coding RNA, 6334 nt
Filed under: Sus scrofa (pig)
Lineage: Eukaryota; Metazoa; Chordata; Mammalia; Artiodactyla; Suidae
Description: lncRNA (ENSSSCG00015001347.1)
Source: RNAcentral